RNA transcript from Hippoglossus stenolepis (Pacific halibut), 2034 nucleotides. It is a transcript of the gene named tyrosylprotein sulfotransferase 1, with no coding region annotated. The transcript is spliced from 7 exons. The record is from RefSeq and is a predicted model, not a curated record. NCBI's taxonomy places the organism in Eukaryota, Metazoa, Chordata, Actinopteri, Pleuronectiformes, Pleuronectidae.
CUCUCACAUCCAGUAGAGCAGUAAGUUGUAGCAGUCUGGUUCGUUAUCACCACCAGUCUACCAGCGCAACAAGCUUGUCCUCCUCGCGAUUGAUGCCGUCUAUGUGCACAGAAAAUGACCGGAAAGUGAUUGUGGGGAACGGCAGGAUUGUCCGGACGUUCCCAGUUGGUACACUGGAAGUUUGCUGACCGACAAAUUCGAGUCUCCUGCGCCGUUUAAGUCCAGGCCUCAUGGAGCUGGGAACUGGACACCUGCUAUGCACCAGGGAGCUUGAUCCAUGCCUGGUUCCCAGCAAGCAACCAUAAGGGGUGGGAAUCUUAAUUACACCUCAGUUCCUUUUCCCAUCCCGCUCCCUAAAUUGCCCCUGUGGAGAUAUUGUCCUCUGCUGUCUCUGGUCUGCAACAUGAUUGGCAAGCUGAAACAGAACUUGCUGGUGGCCUGUCUGGUCAUCAGCUCAGUCACGGUGUUCUACCUGGGCCGCCAUGCCAUGGAGUGCCACCAUCGCAUCGAGGAGCGCGGUCAGCCGGUUGGAAUUCUCCCUCUGUCAGCAAUGGGUGGCAGCAUGCGAACCACUUUACGGACAGGCCAGAAUCUCAGUACACCUUUUGUUUACAACAAAGACAUGCCACUCAUCUUCAUCGGCGGUGUGCCCCGAAGUGGAACCACACUAAUGCGAGCAAUGCUUGAUGCCCACCCAGAGGUACGCUGUGGCGAGGAAACCCGUGUCAUCCCACGUAUCCUGGCCAUGAAGCAGAUGUGGAGCCGCUCAGGCCGAGAGAAGAUGCGCCUGGAUGAGGCAGGUGUGACAGAUGAGGUGCUGGACGCCGCCAUGCAGGCCUUCCUGCUGGAAAUCAUCGUCAAACAUGGAGAGCCUGCCAACUUCCUGUGCAACAAGGACCCUUUUGCACUGAAGUCGCUUGCCUACCUGGCUAAAAUAUUUCCCCAUGCCAAGUUUGUACUGAUGAUUCGUGAUGGGCGGGCUUCAGUCCACUCCAUGAUCUCACGGAAGGUGACCAUUGCUGGCUUUGAUCUGGGCAGCUACCGGGACUGCCUGACAAAGUGGAAUCGGGCCAUAGAGACCAUGUAUACUCAGUGCCUGGAGGCAUCAAAUAAAUGUUUACCAGUGCAUUACGAACAGUUAGUCCUCCAUCCUGAGAAAUGGAUGAGGACACUGCUCAAAUUCCUUGACAUUCCUUGGAAUGAUGCUGUUCUACACCACGAGGAGCUCAUUGGGAAAGCUGGAGGAGUGUCCCUCUCCAAGGUGGAGAGGUCUACAGACCAGGUCAUCAAGCCUGUCAAUGUGGAGGCCUUGUCCAAGUGGGUGGGGAAGAUCCCAGCAGACGUGGUGAGGGACAUGGCUGUCAUUGCACCAAUGCUGUCCAGACUGGGCUACGAUCCACACGCCAACCCUCCCAACUACGGCCGGCCUGACCCCAAGGUCCUGGACAACACCAGAAGGGUCUUUAAAGGUGAAUUUCAGCUACCAGAUUUCCUAAAAGAACAAUCACAACAGAUCCAGAAGUCUGCAGAAAGACCCAACCCCAGUUAGAGCUGAAGGAGUGCAUCACCUUAACACACAGAAGAAAGUGGACAGCUCCGAGUUCAGUACGGGAGAACAGACCAUGGACGUCAUCUCAGCCAUCUCACCACCUGUGUUGGGUCUCGCAUUUCAAAGGUCACAUGACCAAAGUUGGACUUUCUCCUCCACCAAUAAUCGUCUGCGGAGAACUCUUGGCCUUCAAUAUUGUACUGUAUAAAAAUACUACACGUUCUCACAACCACAGAAUGUCUGCUGAUCGUUAAUUUGGUGUCACAUCACACACUGAUUUUUAGAAGUGAUCUCUGGCUAUUUAGAAAAAAUACUGCAGUGAACUGAAAUCACAAGUAUUUAUGAAUGGAAAAUUAGCUUUUGGAAGAUGCAAUACCUAUUUUAAUGUUUAAUGUUUUUUUUCAUGCCUUUGUAUUGUGCAAUGUCAUGCUGAUCAGAUUCAAUUAUCAACCUUGAUAAAUAAUGCUUUUUUUUUUAAAAGCUUG